CACGUAGUUAGCCGGUGCUUUUUCUGCAGGUACCGUCACUUUCGCUUCUUCCCUGCUAAAAGAGGUUUACGACCCGAAGGCCUUCGUCCCUCACGCGGCGUUGCUGCAUCAGGCUUGCGCCCAUUGUGCAAUAUUCCCCACUGCUGCCUCCCGUAGGAGUCUGGGCCGUGUCUCAGUCCCAGUGUGGCCGGUCACCCUCUCAGGCCGGCUACCCGUCGUCGGCUUGGUGAGCCGUUACCUCACCAACUACCUGAUAGGCCGCGAGUCCAUCCUUGACCGAAAUUCUUUCCAGCAACUCACCAUGCGGUGGAAGCUCGUAUCCGGUAUUAGACGCCGUUUCCAGCGCUUAUCCCAGAGUCAAGGGCAGGUUACUCACGUGUUACUCACCCGUUCGCCACUAAUCCACCCAGCAAGCUGGGCUUCAUCGUUCGACUUGCAUGUGUUAAGCACGCCGCCAGCGUUCAUCCUGAGCCAGGAUCAAACUCU
This 486-nucleotide ribosomal RNA is filed under the name uncultured Microbacteriaceae bacterium. Its description in RNAcentral is "partial 16S ribosomal RNA". Lineage: Bacteria; Bacillati; Actinomycetota; Actinomycetes; Micrococcales; Microbacteriaceae. The record is from RNAcentral.